Molecule: ribosomal RNA, 460 nt
Filed under: uncultured bacterium
Lineage: Bacteria
Description: partial 16S ribosomal RNA
Rfam family: Bacterial small subunit ribosomal RNA
Source: RNAcentral
CCUACGGGAGGCAGCAGUGAGGAAUAUUGGUCAAUGGACGAGAGUCUGAACCAGCCAAGUAGCGUGAAGGAUGACUGCCCUAUGGGUUGUAAACUUCUUUUAUAUGGGAAUAAAAUGUUCCACGUGUGGGAUUUUGUAUGUACCAUAUGAAUAAGGAUAGGCUAACUCCGUGCCAGCAGCCGCGGUAAUACGGAGGAUCCGAGCGUUAUCCGGAUUUAUUGGGUUUAAAGGGAGCGUAGGUGGAUUGUCAAGUCAGUUGUGAAAGUUUGCGGCUCAACCGUAAAAUUGCAGUUGAAACUGGCAGUCUUGAGUACAGUAGAGGUGGGCGGAAUUCGUGGUGUAGCGGUGAAAUGCUUAGAUAUCACGAAGAACUCCGAUGGCGAAGGCAGUUCACUGGACUGCAACUGACACUGAGGCUCGAAAGUGUGGGUAUCAAACAGGAUUAGAUACCCCUGUAGUC